AAGGGCGUACGGUGGAUGCCUUGGCAUGCUGAGCCGAUGAAGGACGUGUGAGGCUGCGUUAUGCCUCGGGGAGUUGCCAACUAAGCGUUGAUCCGAGGAUGUCCGAAUGGGGAAACCCAGCACCAGUUGUGUGGUGUUACCCGCAGGUGAAUUCAUAGCUUGUGUGGGGGUGUACGCGGGGAAGUGAAACAUCUCAGUACCCGCAGGAGAGGAAAAUAAUAAUGAUUCUGCUAGUAGCGGCGAGCGAACGUGGAUGAGGCUAAACCAUGUGCGUGUGAUACCUGGCAGGGGUUGCGUGUGUGGGGUUGUGGGAUGUGAUUGUUACCAGGGCUGUCGACUUGGUGCGUGUGUGUUGUGUGUUAGCGGAAGUCACUUGGGAUGGUGCGCCGUAGUGGGUGAGAGCCCCUGUACGUGAAAACAUGCAAUGUGUGCGUUGAUUGUGUCCCGAGUAGCAGCGGGCUCGUGGAAUCUGCUGUGAAUCUGCCGGGACCACCCGGUAAGCCUA
This 505-nucleotide ribosomal RNA is filed under the name Corynebacterium sanguinis. RNAcentral describes it as "partial 23S ribosomal RNA". It matches the Rfam family "Bacterial large subunit ribosomal RNA", at positions 13 to 468 of the family's 2925-position model. Lineage: Bacteria; Bacillati; Actinomycetota; Actinomycetes; Mycobacteriales; Corynebacteriaceae. The record is from RNAcentral.